UACGGAGGGGGCUAGCGUUGUUCGGAAUUACUGGGCGUAAAGCGCACGUAGGCGGCUUUGUAAGUUAGAGGUGAAAGCCCAGGGCUCAACCCUGGAAUUGCCUUUAAGACUGCAUCGCUUGAACAUCGGAGAGGUAAGUGGAAUUCCGAGUGUAGAGGUGAAAUUCGUAGAUAUUCGGAAGAACACCAGUGGCGAAGGCGACUUACUGGACGACUGUUGACGCUGAGGUGCGAAAGCGUGGGGAGCGAACAGG
RNAcentral lists this ribosomal RNA (253 nucleotides) under uncultured bacterium. Its description in RNAcentral is "partial 16S ribosomal RNA". It matches the Rfam family "Bacterial small subunit ribosomal RNA", at positions 524 to 776 of the family's 1533-position model. The record is from RNAcentral.